RNAcentral lists this ribosomal RNA (917 nucleotides) under uncultured archaeon. RNAcentral describes it as "bacterial SSU rRNA". It matches the Rfam family "Archaeal small subunit ribosomal RNA", at positions 1 to 923 of the family's 1478-position model. The record is from RNAcentral.
UUCCGGUUGAUCCCGCCGGAGGCCACUGCUAUUGGGAUCCGACUAAGCCAUGCGAGUCGAGAGGGUUCGGCCCUCGGCAGACUGCUCAGUAACACGUGGAUAAUCUACCCUUAGGUGGAGGAUACUCUCGGGAAACUGAGAAUAAUACUCCAUAGAUCCAGGAUGCUGGAAUGCACCUAGAUUGAAAGUUCCGGCGCCUAAGGAUGAGUCUGCGGACUAUCAGGUAGUAGUCAGGGUAAAGACCUGACUAGCCUACGACGGAUACGGGUUGUGAGAGCAAUAGCCCGGAGACGAUAUCUGAGACACGACAUCGGGCCCUACGGGGCGCAGCAGGCGCGAAAUCUUCACAAUGUGCGAAAGCACGAUGAGGGGAUCCCAAGUGUUGGUUCGUAAGAAUCAUCUGUUUCUUUGUCUAAAAAACAGAGAGAGUAAGAGCUGGGUAAGACGGGUGCCAGCCGCCGCGGUAAUACCUGCAGCUCAAGUGGUGGCCGCUAUUAUUGGGCCUAAAACGUCCGUAGCCGGUUUAGUAAAUGCUUGGGUAAAUUGUGUAGCUCAACUAUACGAAUACCGAGUAGACUGCUGAACUUGGGACCGGGAGAGGCUAGAGGUACUCCUAGGGUAGAGGUGAAAUUCUGUAAUCCUAGGGGGACCACCAGUGGCGAAGGCGUCUAGCUAGAACGGGUCUGACGGUGAGGGACGAAGCCCUGGGGCGCAAACCGGAUUAGAUACCCGGGUAGUCCAGGGUGUAAACGCUGCUCGCUUGAUGUUAGUUGGGCUCCGAGCCCAACUAGUGUCGGAGAGAAGUUGUUAAGCGAGCUGCCUGGGAAGUACGGUCGCACGGCUGAAACUUAAAGGAAUUGGCGGGGGAGCACAGCAGCGGGGUGCAGCGUGCGGAUUCAUUUGACUGCACGCCGGGA